UCAGCUCAUUUAACAGUUUAGCUUAGUUUCAGCUUACUUCAGCUAUUCAACAACUUCAGCAAUCCGUUUCUGAAUUCGGCUUAUGCUACUCAUUUCACAGUUCAACUAAAAAUUAAACUGUUAAACUAGUCCUACUCAAACAACAAGUGUUUAGACCUUUUUGCUGUCCAGAUUUUUAAAUAAUGUUCAGAUUUCAGUUUUCUGCUGUUUAGGAUUGAUUUGUCCGGUCUUCACUUUUUGUGCUUUAUUUACAUUUUGGUGCUUUUUGCUUCUAAAUCUUUCAAAACAUUCAGCUCGUUUUAACAGUUUUGCUUAGUUUCAGCUUCAGCAAUUAGUUUCUGAAUUCAGCAUAUGAUGCUAAUUUCACAGUUCAGCUAAAUGUAAAAAUUAAACUGUUGAACUAGUCCUACUAAAAUAACAGGUGUUUAGACAUUUUACCUGUCCAAUUCUUUUAGACAGUGUUCACAGAUUUGAGUUUUCUGCUAUUUAGAAUUAGUUUUUUUGAUUCUUCACUUACUUUUUGUGCUUUUUUUUGCUUCUUUGUGCUUUUUGCUUUCACAUCUUUCACUACGUUCAGCUCAUUUAACAGUUUGGCUUAGUUUCAGCUUACUUCAGCUAUUCAACAACUUCAGCAAUCCGUUUCUGAAUUCGGCUUAUGCUACCCAUUUCACAGUUCAACUAAAAAUUAAACUGUUAAACUAGUCCUACUCAAACAACAAGUGUUUAGACCUUUUUGCUGUCCAGAUUUUUAAAUAAUGUUCAGAUUUCAGUUUUCUGCUGUUUAGGAUUGAUUUGUCCGGUCUUCACUUUUUGUGCUUUAUUUACAUUUUGGUGCUUUUUGCUUCUAAAUCUUUCAAAACAUUCAGCUCGUUUUAACAGUUUUGCUUAGUUUCAGCUUCAGCAAUUAGUUUCUGAAUUCAGCAUAUGAUGCUAAUUUCACAGUUCAGCUAAAUGUAAAAAUUAAACUGUUGAACUAGUCCUACUAAAAUAACAGGUGUUUAGACAUUUUACCUGUCCAAUUCUUUUAGACAGUGUUCACAGAUUUGAGUUUUCUGCUAUUUAUAAUUAGUUUUUUUGAUUCUUCACUUACUUUUUGUGCUUUUUUUUUGCUUCUUUGUGCUUUUUGCUUUCACAUCUUUCACUACGUUCAGCUCAUUUAACAGUUUAGCUUAGUUUCAGCUUACUUCAGCUAUUCAACAACUUCAGCAAUCCGUUUCUGAAUUCGGCUUAUGCUACUCAUUUCACAGUUCAACUAAAAAUUAAACUGUUAAACUAGUCCUACUCAAACAACAAGUGUUUAGACCUUUUUGCUGUCCAGAUUUUUAAAUAAUGUUCAGAUUUCAGUUUUCUGCUGUUUAGGAUUGAUUUGUCCGGUCUUCACUUUUUGUGAUUUAUUUACAUUUUGGUGCUUUUUGCUUCUAAAUCUUUCAAAACAUUCAGCUCAUUUUAACAGUUUUGCUUAGUUUCAGCUUCAGCAAAUAGUUUCUGAAUUCAGCAUUUGAUGCUAAUUUCACAGUUCAGCUAAAUGUAAAAAUUAAACUGUUGAACUAGUCCUACUACAAUAACAGGUGUUUAGACAUUUUACCUGUCCAAUUCUUUUAGACAGUGUUCACAGAUUUGAGUUUUCUGCUAUUUAGAAUUAGUUUUUUUGAUUCUUCACUUACUUUUUGUGCUUUUUUUUUUUGCUUCUUUGUGCUUUAUGCUUUCACAUCUUUCACUACGUUCAGCUCAUUUAACAGUUUAGCUUAGUUUCAGCUUACUUCAGCUAUUCAACAACUUCAGCAAUCCGUUUCUGAAUUCGGCUUAUGCUACUCAUUUCACAGUUCAACAAAAAAUUAAACUGUUAAACUAGUCCUACUCAAACAACAAGUGUUUACACCUUUUUGCUUCCAGAUUUUUAAAUAAUGUUCAGAUUUUAGUUUUCUGCUGUUUAGGAUUGAUUUGUCCGGUCUUCACUUUUUGUGCUUUAUUUACAUUUUGGUGCUUUUUGCUUCUAAAUCUUUCAAAACAUUCAGCUCAUUUUAACAGUUUUGCUUAGUUUCAGCUUCAGCAAUUAGUUUCUGAAUUCAGCAUAUGAUGCUAAUUUCACAGUUCAGCUAAAUGUAAAAAUUAAACUGUUGAACUAGUCCUACUAAAAUAACAGGUGUUUAGACAUUUUACCUGUCCAAUUCUUUUAGAGAGUGUUCACAGAUUUGAGUUUUCUGCUAUUUAGAAUUAGUUUUUUUGAUUCUUCACUUACUUUUUGUGCUAUUUUUUUGCUUCUUUGUGCUUUUUGCUUUCACAUCUUUCACUACGUUCAGCUCAUUUAACAGUUUAGCUUAGUUUCAGCUUACUUCAGCUAUUCAACAACUUCAGCAAUCCGUUUCUGAAUUCGGCUUAUGCUACUCAUUUCACAGUUCAACUAAAAAUUAAACUGUUAAACUAGUACUACUCAAACAACAAGUGUUUAGACCUUUUUGCUGUCCAGAUUUUUAAAUGAUGUUCAGAUUUCAGUUUUCUGAGUUUUAGGAUUGUUUUGUCCGUUCUUCACUUUUUGUACUUUAUUUACAUUUUGGUGCUUUUUGCUUCUAAAUCUUUCAAAAUAUUCCGCUCAUUUUAACAGUUUAGCUUAGUUUCAGCUUCAGCAAUUAGUUUCUGAAUUCAGCAUAUGAUGCUAAUUUCACAGUUCAGCUAAAUGUAACAAUUAAACUGUUAAACUAGUCCUACUGAAAUAACAGGUGUUUAGACAUUUUAGCUGUCCAAUUUUUUUAAACAGUGUUCACAGAUUUGAGUUUUCUGCUAUUUAGGAUUUUUUUUCUUGAUUCUUCACUUACUUUUUGUGCUUUUUUUGCUUCUUUGUGCUUUUUGCUUUCACAUCUUUCACUACAUUCAGCUCAUUUUGACAGUUUAGCUUAGUUUCAGCUUACUUCAGCUAUUCAACAACUUCAGCAAUCCGUUUCUGAAUUCGGCUUAUGCUACUCAUUUCACAGUUCAACUAAAUAUAAAAAUGAAACUGUUAAAAUAGUCCUACUCAAACAACAAGUGUUUAGACCUUUUUGCUGUCCAGAUUUUUAAAAAUGUUCAGAUUUCAGUUUUCUGAGGUUUAGGAUUGUUUUGUCCGUUCUUCACUUUUUGUGCUUUAUUUACAUUUUGGUGCUUUUUGCUUCUAAAUCUUUCAAAACAUUCAGCUCGUUUUAACAGUUUUGCUUAGUUUCAGCUUCAGCAAUUAGUUUCUGAAUUCAGCAUAUGAUGCUAAUUUCACAGUUCAGCUAAAUGUAAAAAUUAAACUGUUGAACUAGUCCUACUAAAAUAACAGGUGUUUAGACAUUUUACCUGUCCAAUUCUUUUAGACAGUGUUCACAGAUUUGAGUUUUCUGCUAUUUAGAAUUAGUUUUUUUGAUUCUUCACUUACUUUUUGUGCUUUUUUUUUUUGCUUCUUUGUGCUUUUUGCUUUCACAUCUUUCACUACGUUCAGCUAAUUUAACAGUUUAGCUUAGUUUCAGCUUACUUCAGCUAUUCAACAACUUCAGCAAUCAGUUACCAAAUUUAGCAUAUACUGCUAAUUUCACAGUUCAGCUAAAUGUAAAAAUUAAACUGUUAAACUAGUCCUACUGAAAUAACAGGUGUUUACACAUUUUAGCUGUCCAAUUUUUUUAAAAAGUGUUCACAGAUUUGAGUUUUCUGCUAUUUAGGAUUAGUUUUCUUGAUUCUUCACUUACUUUUUGUGCUUUUUUGCUUCUUUGUGCUUUUUGCUUUCACAUCUUUCACUACAUUCAGCUCAUUUAACAGUUUAGCUUAGUUUCAGCUUACUUCAGCUUUUCAACAACUUCAGCAAUCAGUUAGCAAAUUUAGCAUAUACUGCUAAUUUCACAGUUCAGCUAAAUGUAAAGAUUAAACUGUUAAACUUGUCCAACUGAUAUAACAGGUGUUUACACAUUUUAGCUGUCCAAUUUUUUUAAACAGUGUUCACAGAUUUGAGUUUUCUGCUAUUUAGGAUUAGUUUUCUUGAUUCUUCACUUACUUUUUGUGCUUUUUUGCUUCUUUGUGCUUUUUGCUUUCACAUCUUUCACUACAUUCAGCUCAUUUAACAGUUUAGCUUAGUUUCAGCUUACUUCAGCUAUUCAACAACUUCAGCAAUCAGUUAGCAAAUUUAGCAUAUACUGCUAAUUUCACAGUUCAGCUAAAUGUAAAGAUUAAACUGUUAAACUUGUCCAACUGAUAUAACAGGUGUUUACACAUUUUAGCUGUCCAAUUUUUUUAAACAGUGUUCACAGAUUUGAGUUUUCUGCUAUUUAGGAUUAGUUUUCUUGAUUCUUCACUUACUUUUUGUGCUUUUUUGCUUCUUUGUGCUUUUUGCUUUCACAUCUUUCACUACAUUCAGCUCAUUUAACAGUUUAGCUUAGUUUCAGCUUACUUCAGCUAUUC
Nothobranchius furzeri (turquoise killifish) is the source of this 4404-nucleotide non-coding RNA. NCBI's taxonomy places the organism in Eukaryota, Metazoa, Chordata, Actinopteri, Cyprinodontiformes, Nothobranchiidae. The record is from RefSeq and is a predicted model, not a curated record.